This 110-nucleotide small nucleolar RNA is filed under the name Nelumbo nucifera (sacred lotus). RNAcentral's name for it is "Small nucleolar RNA Z152/R70/R12/". It matches the Rfam family "Small nucleolar RNA Z152/R70/R12/". Rfam says of the family: Z152 is a member of the C/D class of snoRNA which contain the C (UGAUGA) and D (CUGA) box motifs. Most of the members of the box C/D family function in directing site-specific 2'-O-methylation of substrate RNAs. The record is from Rfam by way of RNAcentral. Lineage: Eukaryota; Viridiplantae; Streptophyta; Magnoliopsida; Proteales; Nelumbonaceae.
GGUGCGAUGAUGAGGUUAAGACACAGGGUGUUAUGGGCAGUGGACGAGACCUGAAAAAUCUCGCCGUGAGCCUUUCGCCAAUCAAACGACUUCUCCUUCCACUGAGCCCA